This 253-nucleotide ribosomal RNA is filed under the name uncultured bacterium. RNAcentral describes it as "partial 16S ribosomal RNA". It matches the Rfam family "Bacterial small subunit ribosomal RNA", at positions 524 to 776 of the family's 1533-position model. The record is from RNAcentral.
GACGUAGGAGGCGAGCGUUGUCCGGAUUCAUUGGGCGUAAAGGGCGCGUAGGCGGCUGUACAAGUCAAAGGUGAAAUCCCUCGGCUCAACUGAGGAACUGCCUUUGAAACUGCAAGGCUUGAGGCCGGGAGGGGGUAGCGGAAUUCCCAAUGUAGCGGUGAAGUGCGUAGAUAUUGGGAGGAACACCAGUGGCGAAGGCGGCUACCUGGACCGGUUCUGACGCUGAGGCGCGAAAGCGUGGGUAGCAAACAGG